CUAUUGUCGCCCCGUCGCCGCAAAAUCGGCGACCGGGUGUGCAAGCCCGACCA
RNAcentral lists this non-coding RNA (53 nucleotides) under Pseudomonas aeruginosa. The record is from RNAcentral. Lineage: Bacteria; Pseudomonadati; Pseudomonadota; Gammaproteobacteria; Pseudomonadales; Pseudomonadaceae.